UUGUUUAUAUAGAUAAAGCGUGCUUGAUAAUAUACGUAUAUAUAUAUUUUAUAAAUAUAAUUUUUCACGACGUUUUCUGUAAGUUGUAAAAAAGUCCUUUAAUGUUUCAUUCUUGUGUAUGCCAUGAAAGAAUAAAUUAUCCGCAAGAACA
Melitaea cinxia (Glanville fritillary) is the source of this 151-nucleotide long non-coding RNA. RefSeq lists it as uncharacterized. The record is from RefSeq and is a predicted model, not a curated record. Lineage: Eukaryota; Metazoa; Arthropoda; Insecta; Lepidoptera; Nymphalidae. The transcript has 2 exons.